This 503-nucleotide ribosomal RNA is filed under the name uncultured bacterium. RNAcentral's name for it is "partial 16S ribosomal RNA". It matches the Rfam family "Bacterial small subunit ribosomal RNA", at positions 30 to 523 of the family's 1533-position model. The record is from RNAcentral.
AUUGAACGCUGGCGGCAGGCUUAACACAUGCAAGUCGAGCGGGGUGAUGGUGCUUGCACUAUCACUUAGCGGCGGACGGGUGAGUAAUGCUUAGGAAUCUGCCUAUUAGUGGGGGACAACAUCUCGAAAGGGAUGCUAAUACCGCAUACGUCCUACGGGAGAAAGCAGGGGAUCACUUGUGACCUUGCGCUAAUAGAUGAGCCUAAGUCGGAUUAGCUAGUUGGUGGGGUAAAGGCCUACCAAGGCGACGAUCUGUAGCGGGUCUGAGAGGAUGAUCCGCCACACUUGGACUGAGACACGGCCCCGACUCCUACGGGAGGCAGCAGUGGGGAAUAUUGGACAAUGGGGGGAACCCUGAUCCAGCCAUGCCGCGUGUGUGAAGAAGGCCUUAUGGUUGUAAAGCACUUUAAGCGAGGAGGAGGCUCUUUUGGUUAAUACCCAAGAUGAGUGGACGUUACUCGCAGAAUAAGCACCGGCUAACUCUGUGCCAGCCGCCGCGGUAA